CGGCGGACGGGUGAGUAACGCGUGGGUAACCUACCUCAUACAGGGGGAUAACAGUUAGAAAUAACUGCUAAUACCGCAUAAGACCACGGUACCGCAUGGUACAGUGGUAAAAACUCCGGUGGUAUGAGAUGGACCCGCGUCUGAUUAGGUAGUUGGUGGGGUAACGGCCUACCAAGCCGACGAUCAGUAGCCGACCUGAGAGGGUGACCGGCCACAUUGGGACUGAGACACGGCCCAG
Molecule: ribosomal RNA, 238 nt
Filed under: uncultured bacterium
Lineage: Bacteria
Description: partial 16S ribosomal RNA
Rfam family: Bacterial small subunit ribosomal RNA
Source: RNAcentral